This 301-nucleotide ribosomal RNA is filed under the name uncultured bacterium. RNAcentral's name for it is "partial 16S ribosomal RNA". It matches the Rfam family "Bacterial small subunit ribosomal RNA", at positions 509 to 807 of the family's 1533-position model. The record is from RNAcentral.
CAGCAGCCGCGGUAAUACGAAGGGCGCAAGCGUUACUCGGAAUCACUGGGCGUAAAGCGUGCGUAGGUGGUGGUUUAAGUCCGUCGUGAAAGCCCUGGGCUCAACCUGGGAAUUGCAGUGGAUACUGGAUCACUAGAGUGUGGUAGAGGAUAGUGGAAUUUCCGGUGUAGCAGUGAAAUGCGUAGAGAUCGGAAGGAACAUCUGUGGCGAAGGCGACUAUCUGGGCCAACACUGACACUGAGGCACGAAAGCGUGGGUAGCAAACAGGAUUAGAUACCCGUGUAGUCCCUGUCUCUUAUAC